UGUUCAUGUACUCUGCGUUGCAUUGUGCAUAAGAACAGCCCUUAGCCGUGGUAUAUUGGCCAUAUACCACACCUCCUCAGGCAAUAUUGCUUAAGUACACCCUCAUAUAUCAAGAAUAUCAAGUAUAACUGAAAUUAAUGAAAAACUAAAUAAAUUGUUUAACUAAAUGCAACCACAGCAUAUGGCAGCUCUAUAAAUUGGCCCAUAGCAUGAUCAAUAGUGGAAUCUGUUUAGGUAGGGUUUCCAUGUCUUGUUACUGUAAUUGAUGACAACCCCUCAUGGCGGUCCAUUUGUUAAAAAUGUUCCCAGAACCAGGUGCCAGUCAACAGGAAUGGCCAAAGUGCCGUGGUGUUUGGCUCUGCUAUGUACAUCUACGGGGGAUACAUUGACAUGAUAGGCUCAUCACAGGAGUUUUGGAAGUUAGAUUUUGACACCAAGUUGUGGACCCUGCUGGACUGCAUCCAGAUGGAGGUGGGUCCUGGACCCAGACACAGCCACUCUGCCAUGACCGUCCUGGACUGCAUGUACCUGUUUGGGGGUCUGAGGGGCCUGAGUGAGCAGAGGGACCUGUGGAGGUGGAACUCCACAUGUCACUCCUGGAGCUGUCUCAAAGCCAUAUCACCCAGUAGUGCUAUCUGCAGAGUUAACUCCAGCAAACCUCUCACCCACAAGACGAAAUACACGCUGUCUGCCAUCUAGCCAGUACAGUUGAUACCGGGAUUCAUCUAUGAAGAGCACACUUCUCCAGCAUGCCAUUGGCAAUCGCAGCUUCACCACCCAGACCUGGGUGAAGCGAGCCGUGCUACCCAGCUCCAACCCUCCACCCCACAGGAUCUACCACUGCUGUGCUGGCCUAGGCCCCAGCUACCAACCUGUCGUGACCACCACCACCAGCACCACCCUGACCCCCAGCAUCACCAUCAGAAACAGUCUGGACAGCAAUCUACAGUCAUUCCAAAACAAAUGCUUCCCUUCCUCCUCAGAGUUAGAGGGCACUAUAGAGCUACGUUAAGUAGCUCAGAAAAGCUAUUGACUGAACUGGGGGACUAUUGUAAUGGUCUAAGUGGGAACAAUGCAGAUAAAGUUGAAUCAUAAAGUUACUGAUCCCGUCCCCCAUGUCAAACACUUGGAUUCUGAAGGUGGGAUUUUUAAGGGGAUAGGGUAACAUCACACUAACUCUUAUUUUAAUACACUAUUGGUAACAUGAUAUUAUAUUACCUAGCUUAAAUAAGUAACGCCUUGUAAGCAACAUCAGAGAAGGCGUGUUUGCAGAGGGGUCGUAGUUUAUAAAGCUAGAUAGCUACUCUACUGGUGCCAAAAUUGGACUGUAUGGUGUCAGCAAAUGUAAUUAAAAGAUGACACUUCACCUAUGGCAAUGAUACUUAUAUGUUUCCCCUUUCAUCUGUGUCUGGUGUUAACUAGUUAAUGGCUAGCUAGAUCUUCAUCUGUGUCUGGUGUUAACUAGUUAAUGGCUAGCUAGAUCUUCAUCUGUGUCUGGUGUUAACUAGUUACUGGCUAGCUAGAUCUUCAUCUGUGUCUGGUGUUAACUAGUUACUGGCUAGCUAGAUCUUCAUCUGUGUCUGGUGUUAACUAGUUACUGGCUAGCUAGAUCUUCAUCUGUGUCUGGUGUUAACUAGUUAAUGGCUAGCUAGAUCUUCAUCUGUGUCUGGUGUUAACUAGUUACUGGCUAGCUAGAUCUUCAUCUGUGUCUGGUGUUAACUAGUUAAUGGCUAGCUAGAUCUUCAUCUGUGUCUGGUGUUAACUAGUUAAUGGCUAGCUAGGUCUUCAUCUGUGUCUGGUGUUAACUAGUUACUGGCUAGCUAGAUCUUCAUCUGUGUCUGGUGUUAACUAGUUACUGGCUAGCUAGAUCUUCAUCUGUGUCUGGUGUUAACUAGUUACUGGCUAGCUAGAUCUUCAUCUGUGUCUGGUGUUAACUAGUUACUGGCUAGCUAGAUCUUCAUCUGUGUCUGGUGUUAACUAGUUACUGGCUAGCUAGAUCUUCAUCUGUGUCUGGUGUUAACUAGUUAAUGGCUAGCUAGAUCUUCAUCUGUGUCUGGUGUUAACUAGUUACUGGCUAGCUAGAUCUUCAUCUGUGUCUGGUGUUAACUAGUUAAUGGCUAGCUAGAUCUUCAUCUGUGUCUGGUGUUAACUAGUUAAUGGCUAGCUAGGUCUUCAUCUGUGUCUGGUGUUAACUAGUUACUGGCUAGCUAGAUCUUCAUCUGUGUCUGGUGUUAACUAGUUACUGGCUAGCUAGAUCUUUAUCUGUGUCUGGUGUUAACUAGUUAAUGGCUAGCUAGAUCUUCAUCUGUGUCUGGUGUUAACUAGUUAAUGGCUAGCUAGGUCUUCAUCUGUGUCUGGAGUGAACUAGAUAACGGCUAGCUAGGUCUUCAUCUGUGUCUGGUAUUAGCUAGUUAAUGGCUAGCUAGAUCUUCAGCCAGCAUGGAACAAGAUGGUUGUUGAAAACUCUGACGCAGUUGUCAUGUCAACACAUCUGUCAGUGCUGCUGUGAACUGCGUCAAUAAAAGACAUGCCAAAAGGGAGAUGUGUACAUAUAGAUUUUCCAUAAUUGAUGCAAUUUCAAUGUUUGUUGCUUUGCUUAUUUCCAAUUUGUUUUUAUACGUUUUUACUGAAACACUGUCAGUCAAAGUGAGCUCAUGAUUAUUGGCUCCCCGCUCACUUAGCCUCCUUUCAAAAAUGGUUGUGUGCAUUUCUUUCCCC
Oncorhynchus kisutch (coho salmon) is the source of this 2718-nucleotide long non-coding RNA. RefSeq lists it as uncharacterized. The record is from RefSeq and is a predicted model, not a curated record. The transcript is spliced from 5 exons. NCBI's taxonomy places the organism in Eukaryota, Metazoa, Chordata, Actinopteri, Salmoniformes, Salmonidae.